CUGACAUCUUUUAACGGUGGCUGUCUGGCAGACUUCGGUGACACAGACGGAAGCUGAUAUCUACCAACUGUGGGUCUCAAGGGUGUGUCCUUGGAGGACAGAGGCGAAAGGAAGACAUACCAGACUCUUCCAGACCCUCUCUUAAGCCCCAGGGUCCAGGCUGGUGAGGUGGCGUUAAGAAGGUGCUUGGUACCAAGUCUGAUGACCUGGAGUGUACCCUGAGCCCCACAUGGUGGAAGGAGAGACCUGACUCCAGAAAGUUUGUCCUCAGACAUGUGCUUCAACCACACACACACACACACACACACACACACACACACACACACGGUAAGUCAUUGAUCAAUUAAUUUAAGUUUUUAAAAGACCCCAGGGUCACUCUUCUUGAGGGUAGAAUCAACCAUCUGCAUUUCUGCCAUCUAUAGCCCAUCUUGUGGCUUACCAUGGCUGCUCGGAGUAGGACAGGCCAGGUCACACCUUCAGGGCUUGCUGUAAGGGUUUUUUUCCACUUGCUUGAGGCUGUUAACUUAUACAGUGUGUCCUUAAAGCACACAACACACACGCACGCACACACACACACAUCACUAUGGGUUUGUUUCCGCCAUGAUUUUCUUAUUUUCCUGAUGCUCCUGAGUAACAAGCAGCUCUGGUUCCUCAAGUUCACUGGGUGGUUCCUAUGAACCCCAAAGCAGAACAGAAACGGAAAGAGAGCCACCCUGUUGGGCUGGCCCCUGCCGCUAGAAUAGCAUUUGAAGGCAUGUUGCUUGUUUGGAAGGCGAUCUCGGGAAGUUCUGGAGGAGUCCCCAGAAAGUGAGGCAGGGAAAUACCGGGGCAGUGCUAACAGUCCAUUUGCACAGCUGGAGCACAGCCCCCUCAAGCCUCUCUGGGACCACCCACAGGACAAGAGCACCGGGCUCUGUCCACCUGCUCCAAGACACACCAAACACUGGAACACACGUGGGGUAGAAGUUCUGUGACCAGGGGUCCUCAGUCUUCCUAAGACUGCCACCCUUUAACACCGCUCCUCAGGUCGUGGUGACCCCACGACCUGAGGAGUUAUUUUCGUUGCUGCGUCCUAACUGCGGUUUUGCUACCGUUAGGAAUCACAGUGUAAAUAACUGACGUGCAGGACACCUGAAGAGUGGAGACCCACAGGCUGGGAGCUGCUGCCUUACAGACAGGUAUGCGUCAGAUGGAAAGCUGUUGGCAGGUACAGGGACCAGAAGUGUCAAAGGGACACAGGCCGGACACCGGAAGCAUGGCUUCCAUCUACAUGGUGGUCUCAUGCCGGAGGCCAAGAAGGGAGGACAAAGAUCUUGCCCACUUCCUCCCCGGUGGUUUAGAUUUGGAGGAUACAAAGUGGGGUCCCUGAGUAGCCUCACCCAUGGCACGCACGCCUCCUCAGCCAUCUCAGACCAGAGGUCACUACCAAGUUUGCAGGAAUCUCAGGAGAGGAAGAGUCACAGUGAGCAGAAAUAAGUCGAUGAGUCAGGUGAAGCUGAGCAGGAGAGGGGUCAGCCCUGAGAUGCUCAGUGUGUGUGCUGUGUUCAUGAGCUACAGCAUCUUCGAGGGGCAUCCACAAGGGGCAGCCAUGCAGAAGGAGGGCAGAGAGAGCAGCAGCGAGGGAGGGGCUGCACACCCUCCUGGAAAUGCAGGGAGGGCUGAGGGCUGGGAGAAGACAGCCCAUGAAGCCUGGAGGACGGUGCUCGGACCCACUGCUCUCACACAAUGACGGAGCGACUGCCACUCGCCUCUGCUCCCUUCUGUUCUCAUGAUUCCCUCUGUGGUCCCAUGGGCUCCUUCUGUCUCCAUCUGUGUGCUCUCUCUCUCUCUUUUCCUCCCCCUCACACCCUCUCUCCUGUCUUCCCUCCUCCCAUCCCUCCUUCCCUCCCUCCCUCACACCCUCUCUCCUGCCUUCCCUCCUCCUUCCCUCCCUUCCUCUCUCCCUGUUCCUCUUGCCAUCCCUUCUUCCUGUCUCUCUGGAUGUCUAAGAGACCCCGUUAUUCUAUCCCUCACACACUUCUUCAUCAUCCUUUUCCUGGUCUUUCUAUUUUUCCAUGGGUUCCCCAGGGCUCUUUCCAACCUUUUUUAGAGGCUACUGUGCCCCACCCCUCGGGGAGGGUCUGGAGUCUCAGCAAUGGAAGCUGCAUAACUAACGAGUGGCCAGGAGUGGAACAUAUGCGUCCCAGUGGCUGCCUGUGCGGUGGCAGAUGGAGGCUGACAGGCUCGUCCACUGCCAAGCACUCCUCAAAGUGUCCAUCAGCAACAGCCUUCCAUUCAAGAGCCCCCUCUCGCCGUGAUCAACAUUUCAAAAGCGAAUGCACAAGGCGUACAGUAGGUUGCUAUAAUUCACCCAAGGGCUGCACCCGCCUCUGGGAGGCCGCCGCAUUCUUCUCUCUGAGUGAGCUAUUUUUACCAGCUCCCCCUCCGCUCCAGCUCCCAUCUCAGCCUCAGAGCUGAAUUAGACCCUUUCUUCAUCUUGCGGGCUCCCCUCCCUGUUAUUAUAUAAAACCAUUUCAGCCCUUAAGGAGUUGGCAUCUGACAUCCACAGCUCCUGGAUCCCCAGAACAGAGACGGGGAGGGAUAAAUAGAAGGGAGGGAAAGAACUGUUCUGUUCUGGCUCCAGCAACGCAGAUCGGAUCGUCAGAGAGUUAAACAGCAGCAAAGCAUUCGGUGUUAAUCUUUAAUAUUCCCAGGAACUUGUCACCUCUUCCUUCAGGCCCACCGCUGCCUCCGCCAAGCGAGCUCAAGCCUCUCACAAGACAUCACACCUCCUAUUGUGUUCUGGAAGAAAGUACCCACCAGAGGGGAGUUCUGAGUGAUCAAACUGCCAAGGGGGAGAGGGAAGCGGUGCCUGCUAUUUACAGCAGAAGACUGAGAGCUGAACGUGGCUCCCUCCUGCUCCUCCCAUGGCUCACCGGUUUGCAGCAGCCCUGGCUGAGCUCAGCAUCCCCCGUCCCCCUUUUCCAGGCUCCAGAAGCCGAGGCGUAGGUUGUGUUUAACAAAUGCCGAGGGAUGAACAUGCCACCAAAGGUGGAAAUGGACAGGGGCCGUGUGCCUGUUGCCUGGCUGACAGUGCGUCUGCUGUUGGCAGCUAGUUCUCAGCAAGAUUUGUAAGCCAGCAGGGUAAGCCAGGGCGGCUCACCUGUGAAAAUGGCAAGACUCUCUCUCUUUACACACAUCGUGUGUCUCAAUAUAAGUUCCCGGGGGGUGGGGGGGGGCACCUAGCCCAGGAUUCCAGGAGGAUGAGUUUAUCUGGAGGGAGACCUGGAAACUACCUUAGAGGAUGUGAGGGGGAGCAAGGAGCCCGCGCAGGGCAUGGUGUCCCGUUUAAUCCCCGGAGAACUAUAAAGGUCAGUGUGGAGCAUGCCUCGGGGUGACUGCAGGAGAUGCCUGUUAGGAAGGGUCAGGGGACCUCAGAGUUCUCACCACCGGUCCUGCCCGCAGCCAAGGCUGCCGGGAGGAGGGUGGGAGUCCUCCCAGCAGAUGUGUGGGCACUGGCCACCAGACAGACAUAACUGGGGAGCUGACUGUCGCCGUGGUACCAACAGGAGGGACGCCGGUGUGGUACUGGCCACAGGAAGGACCAUCCAUCAACGGGACAGGCACUGUCGGGAAGCUGGCCGCCGGACAGACAUCACGGUGGAGGCUGGCCGCCGGAGGACAGCUAGGUUACCAUUUGCCAGAAGCCAACAGCACAGUGCUGGCUGUUGGAUGCACAGUUUUAAUAAACUAGAGGGAAUCCGAACAUGGCA
Molecule: long non-coding RNA, 3752 nt
Organism: Meriones unguiculatus (Mongolian gerbil)
Lineage: Eukaryota; Metazoa; Chordata; Mammalia; Rodentia; Muridae
Exons: 2
Source: RefSeq, a predicted model, not a curated record